CCGGGGUGAGUAAUGUCUGGGAAACUGCCUGAUGGAGGGGGGUAACUACUGGAAACGGUAGCUAAUACCGCAUAACGUCUUCGGACCAAAGUGGGGGACCUUCGGGCCUCACGCCAUCGGAUGUGCCCAGAUGGGAUUAGCUAGUAGGUGGGGUAAUGGCUCACCUAGGCGACGAUCCCUAGCUGGUCUGAGAGGAUGACCAGCCACACUGGAACUGAGACACGGUCCAG
RNAcentral lists this ribosomal RNA (230 nucleotides) under uncultured bacterium. Its description in RNAcentral is "partial 16S ribosomal RNA". It matches the Rfam family "Bacterial small subunit ribosomal RNA", at positions 104 to 334 of the family's 1533-position model. The record is from RNAcentral.